GAUGAACGCUGGCGGCGUGCCUAAUACAUGCAAGUCGAGCGAACAGAUGAGGAGCUUGCUCCUCUGACGUUAGCGGCGGACGGGUGAGUAACACGUGGAUAACCUACCUCUAUUACUGGGAUAAUUUCGUAAAACCGGUUACAAUAACAGCUCAUACAUUGAACCGCUUGGUUCAAUAGUUCAAGACGGCUUUCCCGUCUCUUUUAGCCGGUUCCGCGCCGCAUUAGCUAGUUGGUAAGGUAACGGCUUACCAAGGCAACGAUGCGUAGCUGACCUGAGAGGGUGAUCGGCCACACUGGAACUGAGACACGGUCCAGACUCCUACGGGAGGCAGCAGUAGGGAAUCUUCGGCAAUGGGCGAAAGCCUGACGGAGCAACGCCGCGUGAGUGAUGAAGGUCUUCGGAUCGUAAAACUCUGUUAUUAGGGAAGAACAAAAGUGGAAGUAACUAUGCACGUCUUGACGGUACCUAAACAGAAAGCAACGGCUAACUACGUG
Molecule: ribosomal RNA, 497 nt
Filed under: uncultured bacterium
Lineage: Bacteria
Description: partial 16S ribosomal RNA
Rfam family: Bacterial small subunit ribosomal RNA
Source: RNAcentral